AUUAGAAUCAGUGUUGUCAAUGUAGUUAUUAACGAGAAUAGGCUCCUAUUCAGAAAGAUUAUUCAACCCUCUUCCUAGUUUAUCUCCUAGAUCCGUACCCUUCCUGAAUUUUUCCUUAUGGGUUUAUGAGAGAGAACAAUUCCGCUUGGCGUAUAGAACAUACCUUCACAAGGGUCUCACAUAAUGAUGUGGGAAGAAUGAAAAAAAGGAAGGUCAGAUAAUGAGGUAGCCCUGAUUAUUCUCUUUUAAUUUCGCCCUAAUUCAAACAAAACCCUUCCCAACCUCUUCAUCCCCAUCCCUACCUUCCCUCACUGAUGAUAGUGGGACAACGCCGUCGAAAUUAGCUUCGUUUCCGACCAGCAACAAAGACAGUGAAGAAGAAAAAGUGUGAACCAUGAAGUCGAAGAUUUGUCGACAUUGAAGAAGUUCGAACCUUGCUCUGAUCUUCGACCACCGCGAAACAACCACUGCGCCCAAUUGAAGAAGACACCUCUUUCCGUUUAUACAUCUCAACAUGAGAGGAAGGAAUGUCGAAAUAUGUCACAGUUAUCGAAGCAAUUGGCGCUCAUUCGGGAAAUGUACGAGAAAAAGUCAUUGCCCAUGGUGUCCACAUGGAUUUCAUAAAUGUUUAGAGGUUGAAAAACAGACACGUAACAAAGGGCGAUUAUUCAACACUCGUAGUAACGAUUGUGGUUUUUUCAAAUAGGUGGUCGAAGAAGACUCAAGUGAACAAUGUAGCGACAUCAACGAGUGAUGACUAUUGCGGGAAAUGAGGAAGUUCAAGAUUUGCCAAGCAUGCUUGAAACUCUAUCCCGAAUAACCGAGAAAUGAGACGUCGAUGUAUCAUUGCAUGUGACAUUUCGCAAGGGAAAAUGAUGCUUGGAAUUGAAUGGGAAAAAAAAGGAUUGGCUUGAUUAUUAGUAUUUCCGUCAAUGGGUUGUUUGGGUUAUAUUUGUAAUUUAAAGACUUGUGUAGCGUUACUUUAUAUUUUGUAUCAAAUUAGAAUUUAUGUAAAUUGCAUCUUAUGUUUCUUCGUUA
Long non-coding RNA from Olea europaea var. sylvestris, 1038 nucleotides. RefSeq lists it as uncharacterized. NCBI's taxonomy places the organism in Eukaryota, Viridiplantae, Streptophyta, Magnoliopsida, Lamiales, Oleaceae. The transcript has 2 exons. The record is from RefSeq and is a predicted model, not a curated record.